UACAGAGAGUGCGAGCGUUAAUCGGAAUUACUGGGCGUAAAGCGCGCGUAGGUGGAUAUGUAAGUCGGAUGUGAAAGCCCUGGGCUUAACCUAGGAAUUGCACCCGAGACUGCACAUCUAGAGUAUGGUAGAGGGAAGUGGAAUUUCCGGUGUAGCGGUGAAAUGCGUAGAUAUCGGAAGGAACACCAGUGGCGAAAGCGGCUUCCUGGACCAAUACUGACACUGAGGUGCGAAAGCGUGGGGAGCAAACAGG
RNAcentral lists this ribosomal RNA (253 nucleotides) under uncultured bacterium. RNAcentral describes it as "partial 16S ribosomal RNA". It matches the Rfam family "Bacterial small subunit ribosomal RNA", at positions 524 to 776 of the family's 1533-position model. The record is from RNAcentral.